GUUUAGUUUUUUAAAUUAAUGCAUAUUAAUUAUACAGAAUAAUGGGUUGAUUUUCUGUUCUUAUAAAUCUUUCUUUCUUCUUUCAUUGGUCUCUGAUGUCUUCCUGGACUAAUAAAAAGAAGCAAAGAGAACAGGAAAAAGGGAAUAGUUGGUCUUAAAAAGAGAGAAUAAGUAAUUUCCCAAAGGAAGGCAAUAGAGUGUUGGCCCUAGAUUCUUUCAUUCUGGAAGGAAAAGCCUUCAGACUUACUUUUCCAUUAGUGGUACUUUUUGCUGUAUUUUACUUCUGCAAAAAUUAAGUAUCAGUUAAGUGAGAGCCAUGUGCUUCCUUUCUGGAGACAUCUUCAAAGAGAAAAGAAGGGUGGCAAAAAUCAUGACAUUUCACACACUCCGCCCCAGUGGAACCCAUCUUCCUCUGCUGUCUAACUGAAGAACUAGCAAUGCCUUCCAAAGCUAAAGGAAACUCCAGCUCCAUGCAACAGAGAUAAAAGAAGCUGAAGGGAGUAGACAAAUAAAAAGGUAAACCCUUUUCCUUUUGUAUUAGGUUUUGUAGAAAUGAUUUUGAAGAUUUUUUUUUUUGCUUCUCUUUGCUCUAUACUUUGUAUAGUCAAAGCCAAGCCAUGUUUGAAAUGUUCCCUAGAAACACACGCAUGUGA
RNAcentral lists this long non-coding RNA (653 nucleotides) under Heterocephalus glaber (naked mole-rat). Its description in RNAcentral is "lncRNA (ENSHGLG00100034969.1)". Lineage: Eukaryota; Metazoa; Chordata; Mammalia; Rodentia; Bathyergidae. The record is from RNAcentral.